This 407-nucleotide ribosomal RNA is filed under the name uncultured bacterium. RNAcentral's name for it is "partial 16S ribosomal RNA". It matches the Rfam family "Bacterial small subunit ribosomal RNA", at positions 30 to 526 of the family's 1533-position model. The record is from RNAcentral.
AUUGAACGCUGGCGGCAGGCUUAACACAUGCCAGUCGAGCGGAGUGUUGGACGGGUAAGUAAUGCUUCGGAAUCUUCAUAUUAGUGUUGGACAACGUCCCGAAAUUGCUGCUAAUCCCUAAUACUAAUCGUUUAGCCUACGUCGGAUUAGCUAGUUGGUGGGUUCAAGGUCUACCAAGGCUACGAUCUGUAGCGGGUCUGAGAGGAUGAUCGGCCAAACUGGGACUGAGACACGGCCCAGACUCCUACGGGAGGCAGCAGUGGGGAAUAUGGGGAAAUGGGGGGAACCCUGAUCCAGCAAUGCCGCGUGUGUGAAGAAGGCCUUAUGGUUGUAAAGCACUUUAAGCGAGGAGGCGUUACUCGCAGAAUAAGCACCGGCUAACUCGGUGCCAGCAGCCGCGGUAAUAC